AUUUCGUCACAAACAGAUUUAUAUAUUUAUCAAUACUUCUAUUCGUUAUUCUUUUCUGUACAGCUUUUUUAUUGCCCAGAUUUUAGUUAGCCUCUGUUCAAUUGACUGUUAUAUGUCAAUAGAAACAUGUCUCACAAAUUAAAGUGUCUUGUAAAAUAUUUGUGGGGUUUUUUUCAAGGAUUUUCUUCCCAAAUCUAUUACAUGCCAACUGUAAAUUGUUAUUUCUGCUAAAUCCUUAACUUAAAUGUAUAUAUGGUGUUUAUCUGUUUCUCUCUCUGUUUUAGAUGCACACAUCAAUCUGAAAUUCGGGCUUAAAGCCAGAAUUGCAGGAAUGCAACACGUGUUGCAGAGGACUCUUUCACUGCCCUCUGUGCCCCACUUUCAGCCCUACUGUCAGGGCAAAGAUUGAGGAGCAUCUCAGUGUGCAUAUAAAAAAUGCUUUGCCUUUCAAAGAUAAAAUGAUAUGCCGGUGCAGGCUGCCUUGUAGGACAACAGGACACUUUCACCGCCCUGUCUGUAAGAUUACAAUCAUACGGCGUGGGGAUAUGGCAAGGCAUUUAUUGUCUUGUCAGCAUUCUUCAAUGCCAAGUCAGCCACCAUUAUCAGGACUGCUCCCCGCUGAACUCUCCGAGGAGACCCGUAUUCCUCCGGCAGUACUCUUCGAGGAGCCCCGUUUCCCCCCCCAAGGUUUUGUCUUCGGUAUCUGAACCAUUUUCUGAGUCUUUGUUAGAACAUUCAUUGGCUCUACCCUCUGUGUUCAAUAAAACUACAGCUGAUGGAAAGUCCAUGAAAAUGACAUGCCCUCACUGUGGCCUUACUCUUCAUAGCUCUGGCAAGCUAUUUGCACACUGGAGAGAGGAAGCCAAAGCUGUGCUUGAAGGACAACACGUGCCCAUUUUCAGACUGAAAAAGCGCAAGUUCCAGGAAGUCAGUCAGGAGCCAGCAGUUGUUGAAGAUCUGCGUCCUGCUGUGCCUUAUUUUGGUUGUCCAAAAUAAGGCACUUUUCUGUGGACAUGUAACAAUGCCCAAAUAUGUGUCCUUAAAUCAAGAGCAGAGGGUCUUAAUAGACAUGUCAGAGGAAGAAGACACUGGAGCAAGGGACUUGUUCCUCUUUGUUUUUCAGUUUGCAGAGGACAUGGAGCUCUUUUUGAAAGCAUGUGCUGAUGAUCAGGGGCUAAGGGUCAGUGCUAUGUUUGACAUGUAAUGGACAAAUGAAGGCACUGGCUGUGUUUGUUUGUUUGUUUAAUAUGUUGUUGUUGUUGUUGUUGUUUUUUUGUUUUGUUUUUUUGCGUAGUACAAAAUUCCAAUUAAACUUAUUUCAAAAUGUUGUUCACUUGAUUCUGUGUCCAUACUUAUAAUAAAUGAUUACAGUGAAACAGCAUUAAAUGUAAAUGUAACAGCAUUUUUUUAAACUUAUAAUUUCAAAAUAAAAAGCUUAUUAUUGAUAUUAACAGUAAAGAAUUGUAAUCAAUAAUAUUUUUAUACAUUUUAAACAUUAACACUCUGGGCUCUAUCCUGGCUAUCUGUGG
Molecule: long non-coding RNA, 1529 nt
Organism: Astatotilapia calliptera (eastern happy)
Lineage: Eukaryota; Metazoa; Chordata; Actinopteri; Cichliformes; Cichlidae
Source: Ensembl